AGUGAACGCUGGCGGUAGGCCUAACACAUGCAAGUCGAACGGCAGCACAGUAAGAGCUUGCUCUUACGGGAGGCGAGUGGCGGACGGGUGAGGAAUACAUCGGAAUCUACUUUUUCGUGGGGGAUAACGUAGGGAAACUUACGCUAAUACCGCAUACGACCUACGGGUGAAAGCAGGGGAUCUUCGGACCCUGCGCGAUUGAAUGCGCCGAUGUCGGAUUAGCUAGUUGGCGGGGUAAAGGCCCACCAAGGCGACGAUCCGUAGCUGGUCUGAGAGGAUGAUCAGCCAUACUGGAACUGAGACACGGUCCAGACUCCUACGGGAGGCAGCAGUGGGGAAUAUUGGACAAUGGGCGCAAGCCUGAUCCAGCCAUACCGCGUGGGUGAAGAAGGCCUUCGGGUUGUAAAGCCCUUUUGUUGGGAAAGAAAAGCAGCAGGUUAAUACCCCGCUGUUCUGACGGUACCCAAAGAAUAAGCACCGGCUAACUUCGUG
This 492-nucleotide ribosomal RNA is filed under the name uncultured bacterium. RNAcentral's name for it is "partial 16S ribosomal RNA". It matches the Rfam family "Bacterial small subunit ribosomal RNA", at positions 29 to 507 of the family's 1533-position model. The record is from RNAcentral.